UCAGAAGGGGAUAACACUUGGAAACAGGUGCUAAUACCGUAUAACAAUCGAAACCGCAUGGUUUUGAUUUGAAAGGCGCUUUCGGGUGUCGCUGAUGGAUGGACCCGCGGUGCAUUAGCUAGUUGGUGAGGUAACGGCUCACCAAGGCCACGAUGCAUAGCCGACCUGAGAGGGUGAUCGGCCACAUUGGGACUGAGACACGGCCCAAACUCCUACGGGAGGCAGCAGUAGGGAAUCUUCGGCAAUGGACGAAAGUCUGACCGAGCAACGCCGCGUGAGUGAAGAAGGUUUUCGGAUCGUAAAACUCUGUUGUUAGAGAAGAACAAGGAUGAGAGUAACUGUUCAUCCCUUGACGGUAUCUAACCAGAAAGCCACGGCUAACUACGUGCCAGCAGCCGCGGUAAUACGUAGGUGGCAAGCGUUGUCCGGAUUUAUUGGGCGUAAAGCGAGCGCAGGCGGUUUCUUAAGUCUGAUGUGAAAGCCCCCGGCUCAACCGGGGAGGGUCAUUGGAAACUGGGAGACUUGAGUGCAGAAGAGGAGAGUGGAAUUCCAUGUGUAGCGGUGAAAUGCGUAGAUAUAUGGAGGAACACCAGUGGCGAAGGCGGCUCUCUGGUCUGUAACUGACGCUGAGGCUCGAAAGCGUGGGGAGCAAACAGGAUUAGAUACCCUGGUAGUCCACGCCGUAAACGAUGAGUGCUAAGUGUUGGAGGGUUUCCGCCCUUCAGUGCUGCAGCUAACGCAUUAAGCACUCCGCCUGGGGAGUACGACCGCAAGGUUGAAACUCAAAGGAAUUGACGGGGGCCCGCACAAGCGGUGGAGCAUGUGGUUUAAUUCGAAGCAACGCGAAGAACCUUACCAGGUCUUGACAUCCUUUGACCACUCUAGAGAUAGAGCUUCCCCUUCGGGGGCAAAGUGACAGGUGGUGCAUGGUUGUCGUCAGCUCGUGUCGUGAGAUGUUGGGUUAAGUCCCGCAACGAGCGCAACCCUUAUUGUUAGUUGCCAUCAUUCAGUUGGGCACUCUAGCAAGACUGCCGGUGACAAACCGGAGGAAGGUGGGGAUGACGUCAAAUCAUCAUGCCCCUUAUGACCUGGGCUACACACGUGCUACAAUGGGAAGUACAACGAGUUGCGAAGUCGCGAGGCUAAGCUAAUCUCUUAAAGCUUCUCUCAGUUCGGAU
This 1178-nucleotide ribosomal RNA is filed under the name Enterococcus faecium. RNAcentral describes it as "bacterial SSU rRNA". It matches the Rfam family "Bacterial small subunit ribosomal RNA", at positions 133 to 1298 of the family's 1533-position model. The record is from RNAcentral. Lineage: Bacteria; Bacillati; Bacillota; Bacilli; Lactobacillales; Enterococcaceae.